This 492-nucleotide ribosomal RNA is filed under the name uncultured bacterium. Its description in RNAcentral is "partial 16S ribosomal RNA". It matches the Rfam family "Bacterial small subunit ribosomal RNA", at positions 28 to 523 of the family's 1533-position model. The record is from RNAcentral.
GACGAACGCUGGCUGCGUGCUUAACACAUGCAAGUCGAACGCUGAAACCCUGGUGCUUGCACCGGGGUGGAUGAGUGGCGAACGGGUGAGUAACACGUGAGUAACCUGCCCCCGACUUCGGGAUAAGCCCGGGAAACUGGGUCUAAUACCGGAUAUGAGCGCCCCUCGCAUGAGGGAUGCUGGGAAGUCUUUUCGGUUGGGGAUGGGCUCGCGGCCUAUCAGUUUGUUGGUGAGGUAAUGGCUCACCAAGACGACGACGGGUAGCCGGCCUGAGAGGGCGACCGGCCACACUGGGACUGAGACACGGCCCAGACUCCUACGGGAGGCAGCAGUGGGGAAGAUUGCACGAUGGGGGAAACCCUGAUGCAGCGACGCAGCGUGCGGGAUGACGGCCUUCGGGUUGUAAACCGCUUUCAGCAGGGAAGAAGCCCCUUGGGGUGACGGUACCUGCAGAAGAAGUACCGGCUAACUACGUGCCAGCCGCCGCAGUAA